GAAAGCCUCUACCAGAUUACUUCUCUCUUUCUCCACCCCUGCUCCAUCAGAGCUGGGUGUUAAGAUCAGAAGGUGCACUGAGGACUGGGAAAAACCCUGCAAACAAGAAAGAAACACAAUGGAUCCUUCUGCGUAUCCUGAGAGUGAACCAAUGUAAGCUGGAGCCCAAAGGAGAAAGAAACCCUAACAUUCGUAUAGUAUCUGAAUCAAGCCAUCACCACAAGUAAUAAAG
This 232-nucleotide long non-coding RNA is filed under the name Fukomys damarensis (Damara mole-rat). RNAcentral describes it as "lncRNA (ENSFDAG00000029427.1)". The record is from RNAcentral. Lineage: Eukaryota; Metazoa; Chordata; Mammalia; Rodentia; Bathyergidae.